GGCGGCGUGCCUAAUACAUGCAAGUCGAGCGGACCAACGAGGAGCUUGCUCCUCAGAGGUCAGCGGCGGACGGGUGAGUAACACGUAGGCAACCUGCCUGUAAGACUGGGAUAACUCCGGGAAACCGGGGCUAAUACCGGAUAACAUCUUCCUCUGCAUAGAGGAGGAUUGAAAGAUGGCUUCUCGCUAUCACUUACAGAUGGGCCCGCGGCGCAUUAGCUAGUUGGUGAGGUAAGGGCUCACCAAGGCGACGAUGCGUAGCCGACCUGAGGGGGUGAUCGCCCACACUGGGACUGAGACACGGCCCAGACUCCUACGGGAGGCAGCAGUAGGGAAUCUUCGGCAAUGGACGAAAGUCUGACCGAGCAACACCGCGUGAGUGAGGAAGGCCUUCGGGUCGUAAAGCUCUGUUGUUAGGGAAGAACAAGUACCGUUCGAACAGGGCGGUACCUUGACGGUACCUAACCAGAAAGCCACGGCUAACUACGUGCCGGCAGCCGCGGUAAUACGUAGGUGGCAAGCGUUGUCCGGAAUUAUUGGGCGUAAAGCGCGCGCAGGCGGUCUCUUAAGUCUGAUGUGAAAGCCCACGGCUCAACCGUGGAGGGUCAUUGGAAACUGGGGGACUUGAGUACUGGAGAGGAGAGUGGAAUUCCAUGUGUAGCGGUGAAAUGCGUAGAUAUAUGGAGGAACACCAGUGGCGAAGGCGGCUCUCUGGCCAGUAACUGACGCUGAGGCGCGAAAGCGUGGGGAGCAAACAGGAUUAGAUACCCUGGUAGUCCACGCCGUAAACGAUGAGUGCUAGGUGUUGGGGGGUUCCACCCUCAGUGCUGACGUUAACACAUUAAGCACUCCGCCUGGGGAGUACGACCGCAAGGUUGAAACUCAAAGGAAUGACGG
Molecule: ribosomal RNA, 897 nt
Filed under: uncultured bacterium
Lineage: Bacteria
Description: bacterial SSU rRNA
Rfam family: Bacterial small subunit ribosomal RNA
Source: RNAcentral